UUGCAAAUCCAAAAAUCGAAA
Caenorhabditis elegans is the source of this 21-nucleotide non-coding RNA. The record is from Ensembl. NCBI's taxonomy places the organism in Eukaryota, Metazoa, Nematoda, Chromadorea, Rhabditida, Rhabditidae.